Non-coding RNA from Coturnix japonica (Japanese quail), 2385 nucleotides. NCBI's taxonomy places the organism in Eukaryota, Metazoa, Chordata, Aves, Galliformes, Phasianidae. The record is from RefSeq and is a predicted model, not a curated record.
GGGACUCGAACUUGUGGGGCUUUCAGCUUGCUGAAGUGUUGAUUUUUCAGGGUUCUGUGGAAGGAAGGGCGCCUUGCUGUCAAAAUGUCUGCAGAACACCUGCUGACAGGGCGGAGAGCAUGGGGCUACAGGAUAAACACACUGCGCUACCGGUGGUGGCUUUGCAGGAGAAUCAGCUGCGUCAUAACAAAGAAGUGAUAAAAGAGCAAUGUCAAUCAAGCAGGUAAGAAGGAAGUUGAGGGAGGAGGACAGAUGGGAAAUCUCCUUGCUUCAACAAAAAUACCAGUGUCAUUGCUUUUUCUUAUCACAGCUGCAAAAUUAUCCCUUUUUCUUGCAGGAAAAGUGGCAAAAAUCCUGCAGGCACAUAGGGAGCCUUCACACUAGCAGAGCAAAGAAGGGCCCAGUGUUUUCAUGCUCCAAAACCCAGACCUUGUAAGGACGGUUGUUGAAGUGCUGGUAGGGGGAGAAGGUGAUGAUGUGUGACAAAGCCUGCUGCCAUCUAUGUUAAAUACACUGCAGAUGUUCCCUGAUGGGACUGCUGCAUAAUAUUCUGCAGCUGACAACCAAACUGAGCGCUAAGAGUGGAAAAGGAGGUGGCCUGUGACUUUAGCACUGAAGAUCAGUGAUUCUCUUUGACCUCUGCUGCCAGCAACAGCCCUGGUUUCACAGUGCUGCUGGUCCUGGAGAGACCCACAAGCUGUCAGCCUGACUUUGGCAACCCAGUGGCUGGAACAAAGUGCAGUGUUUCUUGAGCUGCAGCCACGUCAUGGCCUGAUUAUGGGUAGUGAUAUCCCUCAGCACAGCCAAGGCUGCUCAUAUCAGAGGCGCUGAGCCAGCAUGGGCACCGGCUGUCUCCUCUGGUGAGAACAGUGUUCAGAAGUACACACAGAAUGCUGAGGCUGAGAAAAACAGCACAGCAAGGAGGAAGGGAUGCUGUUAAACAGUCACAGUUCCUGUUUCCAUGAGGCCAGUUGCUCUGAGUCAGGACUCCUGAAUCAAACACACAUCUAAACUGACUCAAUUUCCAGUAUCGUACAGACCUUAUACAACAUGGACUUUGGCUACAUUACCCAACAUAAUUAUCAAAUUGCAUGGGUAAAUCACAUCCUACGUCCAAAGAGGAAGGGAGCCAUAUGGGACUCAGGCAGAGGCUGCAGCACACUCAGAAUGUUCUGGGAGAAGUGAGCUUGUCCUAACAGGUGAGCAGAGCCUGGCACACCCCGAGGAAGACAUUGUUCUGGUCCAGCCCUCUCUACUACAAACAGGGAAAAUGUUUUCAAAGGGAUGUGGAAGGAACUGAUGGCACUGCCACAAAGAAACCCCUUUCCUACCAGGAGUUACAGCUGCCUGCCCAAGUGCCUGUUGUGGGGGAGAGAGAGACAAACAAGAACAGCAAGACUUGUUGUGAGUUGAGUGAUGGAGAUGAGACUCAGAGAGCACAAUGGAGACAAAUACCCCUGCCAUGCCAAAAGCAAAGCCUGUGCUGAUGUGAGCAUCCCCAGAGCUGGAAAAGCCUCUGGUGACAGUCGCUGCCAGGGUCACAUCAGAGGGUAAAGGAGGCAGCACCAGGAGUAAAAGCUUCCAAAGGGCAACUGCUGCCAUUGCUCAACCACAUCAGAGCACAGAAUCUGAAAGGUAGACAUAGGGUUUAAUUAAAUUACAAAGUGCACAAAUCUCAGUGUUGUGCAAUAAUAAUAAGGAAAGCCUGUGCAAAUAUAAUACGACUAUUCUGUCAUCUCUCCUGUCGCAAGCACAUGAUGAGCCAUCAAGGUUGGAAAAGACCUCAUCAACACACACUUUGAGUUUCAAGGCCAUCAGCCAAUGGUUCUGAAGCAAUGGAUUUCCAGGGUACAUCUUAUACUGAAAUACAAACUCUAAAACAUCUUCAGUUACCCAGCCACUGAAGUUCAACUACACCAACCAUCAUAGAAUCAUAGGAUCACUGAGGUUGCAAAGACCACUAAGAUCAUCUUGUACAACUACCAGCCCAGCAAAGCAUGUCCACUUGCUCCAUCUUUACAGCUGAACCUUCCACUCCACCCCACCUGUUUCAACCUUUUUUUCCCCUUUUCCUUCUUUAUGAACCAGCUUUCUCUACAAACCUGUUCAACUGACUGUCCAGUUCUAAUUCCCUCUGGAUGGUAACAGACCCAGCUACCAUGUUUCCCUGCUACUAGAGGACAGGGCAUCUUGAAACUCUAAAACAGAAAAAAAUAAAGGAAAGCAGAGUACUGCUGAGAUAGAAACUCAACAGAAACACAACUCAGUAAUCCAGAGUAUUGGUGGACUGAACCCUAGCAUCAUAGGUGUUGUGUGUAGCUGGGUUAAGUCCAGUAAUAGGAAAGUGUUGGAGAGAUGAAGUAAAUAAAUUCAGUUUCCAUUACA